CCUACGGUGAGCUGCAGUGGGGAAUAUUGCACAAUGGGGGGAACCCUGAUGCAGCGACGCCGCGUGAGUGAAGAAGUAUUUCGGUAUGUAAAGCUCUGUCAGCAGGGAAGAAGAAAGACGGUACCUGACCAAGAAGCCCCGGCUACCUACGUGCCAGCAGCCGCGGUAAUACGUAGGGGGCAAGCGUUAUCCGGAUUUACUGGGUGUAAAGGGAGCGUAGAAGGCAGGGCAAGUCUGGAGUGAAAGGGAGGGGCCCAACCCCUGGACUGCUCUGGAAAUUGUCCGGCUGGAGGGCAGGAGAGGUAAGUGGAAUUCCUAGUGUAGCGGUGAAAUGCGUAGAUAUUAGGAGGAACACCAGUGGCGAAGGCGGCUUACUGGACUGUAACUGACGUUGAGGCUCGAAAGCGUGGGGAGCAAACAGGAUUAGAUACCCCAGUAGUC
Molecule: ribosomal RNA, 441 nt
Filed under: uncultured bacterium
Lineage: Bacteria
Description: partial 16S ribosomal RNA
Rfam family: Bacterial small subunit ribosomal RNA
Source: RNAcentral